This is a long non-coding RNA of Folsomia candida, 4822 nucleotides long. RefSeq lists it as uncharacterized. NCBI's taxonomy places the organism in Eukaryota, Metazoa, Arthropoda, Collembola, Entomobryomorpha, Isotomidae. The record is from RefSeq and is a predicted model, not a curated record. The transcript is spliced from 4 exons.
GAAUAAUUCACACUCAUUCAUUAUUCAAUUUCACUUUAUUGAGUGAGUGUGAACAGGUAUGAACCCAACCCAAAUCCGGGGACCAAGAUUCCAGCCUAACCCAGCUCAGCCCGUUUGGGUUGAGCUGACCCGACAUUUUCGUUGGGUGCUCACCUCUGAUGUGUGCUUCGCGAUGAUGCUUUUUGUAAGUGGGAAAGGAACUUUCUAUCACUCAUCCAGGCUCACACUCGUUGUGUUGUUCUCUCUAUUUUUAAUAAUUGUGUCGAAUAAUUAUAUUAGAGAGUUAAUUAUAAAUUAUAACAAGUGUUCCAACUAAUUAAUAGACUUCACUCAUAAUUAACUAAGUACUUUAAUUUGAUAUAUUGACCGGGUUCGUAUUUUCUGCGGUGCUGAUUCGGUUGUUUGACCAAAAUGCAUCGUUGCGUAGUGAUGGGAUGCAGGAAUUUGCGGGAAAAUGCAUCAAGUUCUGGACUUACAUUUUUUGCUUUCCCGGAAGAUCACAGGACGCUAGUUUGGUGUACAACAUUAAAUCUUGACGCAGGGGCCUCUUAUAAAGGAAAAGUCAUCUGCAGUAAACAUUUCUUGGCUGAAGAUAUGAAAAUCACAAGAAAACUCCUUCCUACUGCAACCCCUAAGAUACUGCAAAUUAAACCAAUGAGCGAUCUUACCGACACAUCAAUGAGCGGAAAGAAAUUUAUUAGUCGCUCUACCCAAUCAGAUACGGAGCCGCCAAUUUCUGCAUCUUAAAUUAUUUGGUCUAAUUAAUUGAUUAACUGGCACGUGUUGUGAUGCAUCAUGCAUCAUAACAAGUGAAUUAUGAUUAUUAUGCAUAACUUCUAACUUUCUAGACCAAACCUAGCCAAAUUUAGGUUACGUAAUUUGUGAAUGGGUCUAUCGCCGUGUCAUUUAAUGACACGGCGACAGUUCCACUUAAUGAUAAUAUCAUUAAAUGUCUGCCCCAUUGUGUGUGCUCGAAUUUUUAUAGCCGGUCACCUCAUUUGAAUAUUUUUACGCAUUUGCGAGAGACAGUUUAUUCAACCUGGAAAGCCCUGUAUCGCCGAAAAUUGGCAUAGUUAGAUUUAUGCAAAUGAGGCGACACGCACAUAUACGAGGAAAGUACGUCUCUAUCCAUAUCCGUGUAGGUAACAAGGAACCCUUUGAGGUGUCGGUCCACUAUGUUUUUCAGAAUCUACUAGAACCCUAGAUAAAGGAUUUAUUCUUAUUUCCGUGUAAAACAAAUAUUUAGCGCCGUGGCGUGGCGCAAUAUUCGUCAAAUUGGAAUGUUUUUAUUCUUAAAACCGCCAAUAAUUUUGAAAUCAUGGGCGAAUUUUCAAAAUUUUUGAACAGAAUCAUGACAAGGACUUUCAUAUAUCAUGAAUUUAAAAAAAAAUAAUUAAAAAAAUUGGAUUUUUUAGGGAUGAGGUUAGUCGAAAAAAUCCGAAAAAUAUUUGAAAAAUUAAAGAUUUCGAGUUUUUACUUUUUUCUUAAAAUUUCGACUUUUGUGAUCAUUUUAAGUGCAAAAUUUUGAAAAUCCCACGCAAACUUCAAAAGUUAUGGACUUACAAUAAUCAAAACCGGAAUUUCGAAAGACAGAAAAAAAAUGAUUUUGAAAAGAUUUGCACACUUUGUAUACCUGAUUUUUGUGAGUACACAUGUAUCACUACUUUGGUUCUACUCCGCCCCUUGCCCCUAGGGGAGUGGCUUAAAGUCGCAAAAUCCGAAAACUGUGCAGCGGAUUUCUCGAUAACGGAAAACGAUAUCGAGAUGCUACUUUCGCCAAAAGUUUCCUAAUGUUUUUUUUUCCUAGCUUUUUUUGAAAUUCUAAAAACGAGAUUUCCAAAAAAAUAACUUUGAAAAAUUUUGGAUGAAAAUUUCAAGUCUCACAACACCCCAUAAAGGAGUGUUGUGAAGUGUCGUAUCGUUGGAAAGGUAUUGAUGAGAGGAUUCAGAAUAUAUGAGUUAAACCAGAGGAAGUGUUCCACAAAAGCAUUUUCCAUAUUUCGCAAGACAAAGUGUUAAACUUGGGUUCUGGUGGGUAUCCACCACCAUCGCGCGGAUUCGUGCGUCAGUGCCGUAUCCGUCGCACUUUGUCAACCUCACUCAAUCAUGCGUCUCAUUUAAUUAACUAUACUGGGUUACUUAAAUGUAGGCUUAUCAAAAUACAAAAAAAUGAUGUGUUGAUAUAUCACUAGCCCUCGUUAGUUACGGCACUUGCCGUAUAAGUCCCUCCCUCAGAAACUUUGACCCCAAAUUUCUCAUGGUACCAGCGUUUCCCUUCGGGCAACAAAAGCUGAAAAUGUAGCUGUUCCCAAGGAGAAAAAUCUGGCAUCGGGUUGUCCGAAGUAAAUGGCUGGUACCAUUCGGUUUUUAAGGAUUUCUGUGUAUGUAAAAAAACCGCCAAUUUUCGAAUUUUGAAACUCUUGAUGCAUUAAAAUGUUCAUAUUCCAAGGGGAAGUCAAAUUGCAAAUGCAAGUAUAGGUCUAACUCUUGUUCUACACGAUGUACAUUGACUUUCUCAUUUUUCCGAACUUUCUUCCUUUAUUUUUAUAGGGGGUGUGGUUGCACAGAAUUCAAAAAAUGUUGUGGUACAUUUGUCCUUGUACCCACAAUUGCAUUUACAAUUAAUUUUAUUUGAUUCAGUGAAAUCGAUGCGAAAAGCGAUGGAACGUAUCCGUCAUCCUCUCUCAUAUAUACUUUGUUGGGUCUGAGACCACCCCCUGUUGAUGUAAAGACCAGAGAAUAUUAUUGAGUUUUGGUUUUUCUUGUAUGCAGACGUUAACACAAUAGCAGGUUGAGAGCUAACAUUCAUAUUGAGAGUUAACAUUUAUUAUUUACAAAAUUAUUUACAAAAUUAUUUAUUAAAUCUACAUGCAAAUCAUACAUGUAGAUAUAUUACCAAGUGAGAUUUGUAAAAGUGAGAUUUCUGCAAUCCUGUCUUAAACAACUUUUUCAGAAAAAUAACAACUUUUAGUACAAUUUGCCUUCAACUAACCAUCUUUAAUAAAUAUAAUCAGGAGAAAAUCCUAUCAUACUUAAUACAGUUUGAUGUUCCUAGAUUAUCUCAAGUUGUCAUUUCGCCCCGGUUUGACAACAACGCAGGAACCGUGUAGUUCAGUAUACGCGAAUAAAACCAGAUUUUCAAUCCUUUCAUGAAUUUCAAAACAGUGAAUCCUCCCACGCCACAGAAAACACAUAACGGUUUAAAAGCCAUGAAUACUCUCCUUAGGUAUCCUCGAUCGUGACAUCGUUCUAAAUGUCGUUCCCAUUUCCUCUUCAAUUCUACCGUCUUCUCAUUCACGCUAAUCCCCAAUGGUAGCAAAGCAUCGAUAAUCGCUGGAAUCAGGACCGCUAUUGCCGGGAAGUAGAGGUUGGCAUCGGUGUUACUUUGUGCAGCCUGAUGGACACGAAAUUAAACAGCACACUUAAAAGUAGUGCAAAUUCCAUCAGUAUGGCAGCCAUGCUAUGGCUGCACCCCGGGAUAAAAUAUCAUUAAUCAGCUGCAGAAUUAUAGUUAAUUCGAAAUACUUCAAGACUUGUUUUCUAGCAGUAUGUCUCGAAAUUCGGACUGAAAUUGCCCACAAGUCCAAUUUACGAAUCCCAUCGAGGACAAGUAGUGCUGAUAGCGGUAACAUGCAAAGAAAGAAAGCCAGCAGACGAAAGUAUUGAAGGGCAGGGAGAAACUGUAAAAGGCGUAGUGGAAGUGUAGCAAGGUGCCCGAAUAAACUAUUUAUUUCCAAGUGCAGCACAUAUUUCAAAAAGAGGUAGCCCACAUCCAACUCAAAGUAGAGUAGAAGGGUGAACAAGAAAUAAGGAUAUAUGGAAAAAAGCACGACAUUUAUGUUCAAGAUAAGUGCAAGCGGAGCAAUAUUUUUGCGCGAGGAUCCUGAAAAAAUAAUAAUUUUGGUUACAUCCUAUUUUAAGUAUCAUUUAAAUUUAAAAUCAUACAUAUUUUCUCUUUCCGCUGUACAAAAUAAUUGCAGGUUUUUUAAUCUGCUCGACGUGUAGAUAAAUACUCAAUUCAACCGUUACGAGAAGAAACGAUGUUAUCUCGAAAAUGCUACACAACAACAAAACUGUCAGAGGUGGUGAAAUGAGCCCAUAGAUGUUGAGAAGAAUUAUGACAGUAGAGGAGACAAGGAUGGCAGGAGUGAUGACAAAUACCACAAUUAUCCAUUCAAUUAGCAAACCUGGAGACUUGGUGGAGAUGAAGGUAUGACUGGUCUUGUCCCAUCCCAAAGGGCAUUUCCAACAGUAAUGGAAACAAGUUGGUAAACUUAGCAGUCGUUUCCAUACGAGGGGGAUGCUAUACUCGAAAUUAGGCAAGUUACCAGUAUUAGAUUCCAAAAUACGGGGGACGAUAAUUUAAAACCAUUGAGUAGAACUCAUUUAUUGAAUAGUUUUUAAAUCGAGUUUCUUAAACCUUUGCAAAAUAACUUCAACUAUGCCUAAACUAAAUUAAAACUAACUUCCAAGAGCAGUAAAAUCCUAGAAGUGAUAGAUAUUUACCUACCUUAUAAUCUAUUUUGAUGCAGACUUGAUUUUGAAUUGCUGUUAAGGAUUCAAUUUUAUAUAUUGAAACUUUCGGUGACCGGUCAAUUUGGUCCGGUCAAUUUGGUCGGGUCAGUUUGGUCUUAAACAAAUUCGGUCUCGCCAAUUUGGUCUAGCCGAUUUGGUCAAGCCAAUUUGGUCUGGUUAGUUUGGUCUAUGCAUUUUGGUUUGACGCAUCUUCUGCUUAUGGCAUAGUUGACCAAAUUACUAAAUUAAUUCGUACAUAAUUAAAUUACUAAUUACAAUAAUAAAACUUUUCGUUGAAAAUCGCGAA